UACGUAGGGUGCAAGCGUUGUCCGGAAUUAUUGGGCGUAAAGAGCGCGUAGGCGGUCUGUUAAGUGUAGAGUGAAAUCUCCAGGGCUCAACCCGGAAACUGCUCUGCAUACUGGCAGACUGGAGGGACUGAGAGGUGAAUGGAAUUCCUGGUGUAGCGGUGAAAUGCGCAGAUAUCAGGAGGAACACCGAUGGCGAAGGCAGGUCUCUGGGCAUUAACUGACGCUGAGGAGCGAAAGCAUGGGGAGCGAACAGG
RNAcentral lists this ribosomal RNA (254 nucleotides) under uncultured bacterium. RNAcentral describes it as "partial 16S ribosomal RNA". It matches the Rfam family "Bacterial small subunit ribosomal RNA", at positions 524 to 776 of the family's 1533-position model. The record is from RNAcentral.